CCUACGGGUGGCAGCAGUGGGGAAUAUUGCACAAUGGGGGAAACCCUGAUGCAGCGACGCCGCGUGAGUGAAGAAGUCUUUCGGUACGUAAAGCUCUAUCAGCAGGGAAGAAAAUGACGGUACCUGACUAAGACUCCCCGGCUAACUACGUGCCAGCAGCCGCGGUAAUACGUAGGGGGCAAGCGUUAUCCGGAUUUACUGGGUGUAAAGGGAGCGUAGACGGCAGCGCAAGUCUGGAGUGAAAUCCCAUGGCUUAACCAUGGAACUGCUUUGGAAACUGUGCAGCUAGAGUGCAGGAGAGGUAGGCGGAAUUCCUGGUGUAGCGGUGAAAUGCGUAGAUAUUAGGAGGAACCCCGAUUGCGAAGGCAGCUUACUAAACUGUGACUGACAUUGAUGCUCGAAAGUGUGGGUAUCAAACAGGAUUAGAUACCCCUGUAGUC
This 440-nucleotide ribosomal RNA is filed under the name uncultured bacterium. RNAcentral's name for it is "partial 16S ribosomal RNA". It matches the Rfam family "Bacterial small subunit ribosomal RNA", at positions 338 to 795 of the family's 1533-position model. The record is from RNAcentral.